This 1803-nucleotide ribosomal RNA is filed under the name Triticum aestivum (bread wheat). RNAcentral describes it as "partial small subunit ribosomal RNA". Lineage: Eukaryota; Viridiplantae; Streptophyta; Magnoliopsida; Poales; Poaceae. The record is from RNAcentral.
UACGAGUAACCGUUGGGUUCCACACAUAUGGGGAUGAAGGGGUUCUACACACGACGACACUCCGUACAUCGUGGUGAAGAGGACUGACGAUAUUAGUCACCUUCUAGAGUACUGUACCGCAGUACCAGAGUACCUUACCUGUAGUACCCCGAAUAAUCCUUGAGACUCAAAUCGCCCGUGGUACGGCUUUCCCAAGAGCUUCAGGAGGGAGAGUAACUGUCCUAUAUACCUGAACCAAUACGUGACUUAGUAACACCUCCUAGAGUCCCCCGUCUACUACAAAGUAUACGAUCUGACUUUCAGGUGUCCAAAUGAGUACAGUAGACAAAAAACAACAAACUCCCUUCAACCUUUUGUUUUCGGCCCUCUUCAUACAGGGGAGGCAGGAGGAGGACGCUGCGCGCAGUGCUCUCUUUGGGAACGCGGCGGCGGCGGCCCUGGGGGAGGAGGAGGGGAAGAGGGGAGGGGACGGCGGCGGACGCUCGUUCCGGCCCGCUUCGGGCCAGCCGAGGCCACCACACACACACCCCCCCAGAAGGGAAGUGGCACACCGGCGCACACCGCGUCCUACCGCACCGGCCGCUUCCGCGGUACGCUCAUCCCCCGUGCUGCUGCACCGUAGACUCACACCCCACCGCUGCGGACCGGUCCACGAGCAUGCCCACCGAGAUGCCGCCCCCACCGACGCUACAACGGCCGCCGACGCAAACACGCGCGGGUCUAGACCGUCGCCGACGCGGGCGCGCAACGCGACCGAGUCGCCACCGGACCCACCGAGCCGUGCGCGCCCUCGAGCCGCCCGCCGCCGAACCCAGCGGCGACGUGGAGCAGUAGGCCGACACACCAGUGACCACCACCUAUCGCCGGCGACCACUCUAAGUAGAACAGGUCGGUGCCGCGUCCCGACCUGGAAAGGGUCACUACCGGUGUCAACUCCCUACCUAGGCUGCGGCCCUCCCGGUGCCUUGGUAGGAACGGAGGACAGUCCACCGCGUGGCCCCUCGAGCAGGAACGUACCGGACCGCCCUACCCCGCCACCGCCGGCUCACGCCGGCCGGGCCCCCACCCGGAGCCUGGACCCCUGGCAGGUUCCCGUCCCUUCCUCCACGGAAGGGCGGGCAGAGAAACGGACAGUACCGACGUUCGAAGCCAUCCCCUACCACAGCCCUGGUACCCACAACCCCGCCGCCGGGACCUCCCACGCUGUUGGCCUCCCCAUCCAGGCCGUCCGGACCAAACAACACGGAGCGGAGCCCCCGACACUCCUGAAGGGCCCCACUUUUGGACGAAACCGAGACGGUUCGGCUGCCGCUGCAGCGGAUACCCGCCUUGGAGGAAGAACUUCCGCAGCAGCGCCGAGGAUAUGUACGAGGCUAACGAGGCUUCCUUUGGAACUAGAACCCUAGCCCGCCACCACUAUGAGGACACAGUAGGUGGAAGUGGCUGUCGUGCGCGAACAGACACUGGAGGGUGGUCGUCGCGGAACUCCAGUGGGUGUUUUCGCUGGUUCGUUAAGGUGCAACAGUGGGAGAUGAUGAAGUGGUUGCUGUAGCUCCUCCAGCACCAACCAUGACGGCCGCCUACGUAGGUAGACGAUUAGAGGACCGUGGCGCAUCUGCCUCGGUUUGCUCAACCCCGGAGGUCGGCCGACCAUCACCUGUUGUUGUGGCCCGUAGCUUAAGACGGGUUUCAAACAGCGUCGUGAACACCAGUCGCCGCUCCUACUCGUGGGUGUGGGCGAGGAACAACGGCCGGAGACGUAGGAGGAGGGAGCUUCGCCCAGAUACGCCCCUCAACUAGAUC